RNAcentral lists this ribosomal RNA (240 nucleotides) under Triticum aestivum (bread wheat). RNAcentral describes it as "partial small subunit ribosomal RNA". The record is from RNAcentral. Lineage: Eukaryota; Viridiplantae; Streptophyta; Magnoliopsida; Poales; Poaceae.
AUACCGGAUGGCUGCUUCGGCAGUACAGAGUCUUGGUGGAUCAAUACACGGAGGGAGAUUCCAAAGAGGGCCAGACGAAAUUUUGACACUAUAACCAUCCUGAUCCAUUGGAGAAUUUGGAAAGAAAGAAAUGCAAGGAUUUUUGAGCAAGUGGCCAGUAAUGUUGACAGGAUACUUGAGCUUAUCAGGGAGGACAUCGCUGUUUGGAGAGCUGCCCGUUGUGUAGGCGACUUCUACUGA